Corapipo altera (White-ruffed manakin) is the source of this 3275-nucleotide long non-coding RNA. RefSeq lists it as uncharacterized. The transcript has 3 exons. The record is from RefSeq and is a predicted model, not a curated record. Lineage: Eukaryota; Metazoa; Chordata; Aves; Passeriformes; Pipridae.
UUCCCCGUGCCCGCUGGCUUGGGAGUGGAGGCCGGAGGGGGUUGGCAGAAAGGCGGAGGGUACCCUGCUGUUCCUUCCCCAGCCCCGGGACGGGAGGGGCCCCCGGUGGAGCCCCCUGCGCUCCAGCCUCUGCCCCCUCUUCGGCCAGGAGACCUGUCCAGCCACUGCUGUUCUCCCGCCCCACUGCCAAGCUUCUGAGCCGUUUCCCGUUUUAUUUUUUCCGGUUUUCUAGGGAUUUCCCCCCCCCCGUGUUUUCAGCCCCUCAUGCUCCGCCCACAUGCCUAAAACAGAAAACUGUGGAAAUGCUAGUUUCCCGACCACAGAUCAGUUUGAAGGGCUUGGCCACCAUGAGAAUCUGAUCCCACUGUGGCCUGGGUUUCCCCUUAUCUUUCUUCACUUUACAUCUCCCUCUUUCACUCCCCAUCUCAAUUACUGAUGGUAAUUCCUUCUCUUCAGUGUUCAGAAACCUGGUGCUUCUUGAAUGCUCUGAUUGCUUAGCAUUUGGGGAAUUCUCUGUAUCCUAACAGAAUGGGUACAAAAUAUAACCCUGCCAGAUUGACAGCAUCUUGCCCUGAUGUAAAUGGCUGCACAAGGUCCGGGGUAAUUCUGGCAGAUGAAGAAGCUCCUCGGCCUUACAGUUCUGUUUUAAAAUGCUGUUGACAGAUCAAUCAUCCCUUGGAAGAUUAUUGGCAAAUCUGAAAAGUGAUGUAACUGUGGAGCUACUGCUGCACAACAGCUGUGCAAUGAGCAAAGUAUAAGUGAUUGGUUAAUUUUACACCUAUAUAAACUUUUUCAUAAAGUGUUUGAAUGGGAGGUUUUUAUCUCAGAGGUAUUUUGUAAUGGAGCAAGUCAUUGACAAAGCUAUUUCCCCUCUCUAGAAACCUCACUGGGAAGGAAGCUGUGAAUGUCUUUAUGUCUUUAUUUUGAAUGUUCCAGUGCCCAGUUGUGAGAGAUUCUGACCAAUUUCAAUUGGGAAUAUAAAUGCUAACUUUUUAGCACUUUCCCCCUAUAUGUCUUAAAAUACAUACUUACUGAGGGAAAAAAACAGGUUGGUAAGAGUUACUUUCUUGCAUUCAUAGUGGCACAUAGUAAGUCAGAACAGAAAUUAAUAUCUAGAACAGUGGAGAAUCCCUGAGCAGAUGUUACCUCCUCUAUGGGGGAAAAAACUCCACACCGAAAAUUGAACGAAAACCACUCCAAACCUAGCUUUCCAUAUGCCCCAUUCUUUUCAGAUCUCUUGAAAUUCGAUUUGUCUCAUGUAGGAUAAAAGCCAUGAUCUAACAUUGCUAAGAGUGAAGUUAACUUACUCUUAAUAAAGAAAUGUUAAUCAGCCAUUAUAUAUUUUAUCAUACCUUCAUAUUGAAAGGCAAGGUAAAGAAUGUGCCUAAAAUCACUCAGUCUUUUUUAUUUUCAAGUAUGAUGAUAUAGUGGCAUCUUACAAAAGCAGAAAUUUAUUAGCCAUAGAGCAAAUAUGACUUGGAUGUCAUGAACCUGCACCUGAUUUAUCUCAUCAUUGCACAACCCCAAACAGGGACAUCUUGCUUCAUUUCUUAGUCCAGCUAUAUGGGUGACUGUUCUAGUUGUACUAGUUAGAAGGUACAUCAUGUUACUAUGUCUCAGUCAUGAAAGCAGAUGCUUACCGAGCAGUUGUUUUCAGUAUUCAUUCAGACCAGGACCAAAGAGGAACUUCAGUGUCCCAUGGAUCUUAUUGUCAGAUUGCCUCCAUGCCACAGAGUGCAGAGGCCAGGAAACCCCUAGCACAAGAUUUGUACUACAGUUGUGUGAGGGCUUGGGAACUUCCAAUAUGAGCCACCGCAUUGGCAUCCUGCACAAAGAAUCCCUUUCCAGAAGCAAGCAAGAUUUCACAAAGCACCUUUGACUGCUUACUUAUUCCUUGAAAACACAUCUUAGACAUUAAAGAUGGAUAAUUAAUGGAGUAAGUAGAAGACCACAUUGAGUCAUAAGAAGAAAAAAUAUGGAGGUGGGAAGUGCAGACUGCUCUGAUCAGCACUGCAGAAGCAACAGAGGCCACCCUAAUCAGUCAGAGCAGGGCGACCCACCUAAACCAGAAAUGCAUAGCUGCUUUGCCAUUGAAAACUGGUGUUACAUCACUGGUUAAGCAAAUGAGAGGAAAACAGUGAGUAACUUCCUUCAGUCAGUCUGGUAUUAAAUCCAGCUACACUAAAAUUAAAGGCUCUGCAGUUCCACUGCUAAUUCUUAAAUUUCCCAAUUUGGUGAGAGGUUUUCAAUGAGAUUUGUUUGGUUGUUUCCCCCUCACUUUCUUGUUUGCCACUUCUCUAAAACAUGAUUUUCUUUUGUAGGAAAAGUUAAUGUGCUGUUGCCUAAAAAGAGCUUAGAGACUUUCAUUCAUUUUGUAGUGAAUGUGCUCAGGUCCUGCUGGUGUUGGUUGCUGCUCUAGGAUUUAUCUAGUUACCACUAACAGUGGGUGGCAAAUAAAAAGGAAAAGCAAUCAAUUAAGCAGUCAUUCUUUGAACCUUAUUUAUUAGCCAUAAAACAAAAUAGUCCAUGAGCAAAUGUUAAUUAGUUUGAAUUAUUUGUUUAUUUCUGUGUUUCCUCUGUAUUCUCCUCAGAUUAAUGACUUUAGUAUUUAGGAAAUAAUGUUCUCUUCUCUAGUUGACAGUAAAUAGUUCAAUAUAUACACAGGAAAAAGGCUGUGCAAAGUACUUCAGCUUCCAUUGUGACUAAGGAACAAAGUUGUCUUGAUUAGCAUUUAUAAACAUUAUUGCAUUAGGAAAGAAAAAAUGAUCUGUCAGUGUCAAUACACCUUUGGUAUAUAUAUAUAUAUAUAAAGAAAUAAUGUAAAUGAAGGUACAAUAGGGAUAGAGUGUCAGAAUAAUCAUAUUACUUGGUGUCAAGGCUGUCUCAUCCUUUCAUGGUGUCCAGCUCCAGAGGUGUAAAAGAUGUGUAAAUUGCACAGUGGAAGAUCUGAGAUGAUCUGUCUCCUAUGGAAGUGUGUCCUUGCAACACUAGCUGUCUAAACUCUGCGUGUUCUCAUCACCGUGUGACCAUCCCCUCUCUACACCUCUCCUAAGGAUACCCUGUGAUACAGUGUUCACCAUCUAAAAGAUAGAUGAAGUCUGGACACUCUUAGUGACAGACGAUACGUGCUUUCAUUACUUCAUCUUUUCGAAUCCUAGACUAGUCCCUUUUUCUAUUGUGAAAUGGGAAGAAGAGCUGACCUACCUUCUAGAAUUUGGCCAUUUAUAUACAUUUUAAUAAUAUUUGCUGUUAUUUUGGCUUAUAAAAUAAACAGU